UGAAGCGGCAACAGCUCAAAUUUGAAAUCUGGUCCCCUUUGGGGGCCCGAGUUGUAAUUUGAAGAGGAUGCUUUUGGCGAGGCGCCGUCCGAGUUCCCUGGAACGGGACGCCGCAGAGGGUGAGAGCCCCGUACGGUCGGACGCCGAGCCUCUGUAAAGCUCCUUCGACGAGUCGAGUAGUUUGGGAAUGCUGCUCAAAAUGGGAGGUAAACCCCUUCUAAAGCUAAAUACCGGCCAGAGACCGAUAGCGCACAAGUAGAGUGAUCGAAAGAUGAAAAGCACUUUGAAAAGAGAGUUAAAAAGCACGUGAAAUUGUUAAAAGGGAAGCGCUUGCGACCAGACUUGCGCCCGUCGGAUCAACCGUCGCUUGCGGCGGCGCACUCCGGCGGGCUCAGGCCAGCAUCAGUU
Molecule: ribosomal RNA, 408 nt
Filed under: Scopulariopsis candida
Lineage: Eukaryota; Fungi; Ascomycota; Sordariomycetes; Microascales; Microascaceae
Description: LSU rRNA
Rfam family: Eukaryotic large subunit ribosomal RNA
Source: RNAcentral